Molecule: ribosomal RNA, 497 nt
Filed under: uncultured bacterium
Lineage: Bacteria
Description: partial 16S ribosomal RNA
Rfam family: Bacterial small subunit ribosomal RNA
Source: RNAcentral
GAUGAACGCUGGCGGCGUGCCUAAUACAUGCAAGUCGAGCGAACAGACGAUGAGCUUGUGGCGUUCUCGUGAGCGGAGGACGUGUGAGUAACAUGUGGAUACUCUACCUAUAAUUGGGGGAAAACUUGGGGAAACGGGAGAUAAUAGCGGAUAAGAUACUGCAGCGCGGGGGGCAAUGGUGAAAGUCGGUGGUGCUGGCACUAAUCGAUGCAUCUGGGCUGCAUUAGCUAGUUGGGCAGGUAACGGGUUUCCAAGGCGACGAUGCGUAUCCGACCUGUGAGACUGGUCGGCCGCACUGGAGCUGAGACGCGCACCAGGGGACUACGGGACGCAGCAGUAGGGUAUGGGCCGCAAUGGGCGGAAGCCUUACGGAGCAACGCCACGUGAGUGAUAGCAGUCUUCGGAUCGUAAAACUCUGUUAUGGGGGAAGAACCACUUUGUCCGUAACUAUGCACGGCUUGACGGUACCUAAUCAGAAAGCCACGGCUAACUACGUG